GGGACUUAGGUUAAACUAAAACCGAGGGCCUUCAAAGCCCUAAACAAGGGUGAAAAUCUCUUAGUCUCUA
This 70-nucleotide transfer RNA is filed under the name Scriptaphyosemion sp. RS1378. RNAcentral describes it as "tRNA-Trp". It matches the Rfam family "tRNA". From Rfam's summary of the family: Transfer RNA (tRNA) molecules are approximately 80 nucleotides in length. Their secondary structure includes four short double-helical elements and three loops (D, anti-codon, and T loops). Lineage: Eukaryota; Metazoa; Chordata; Actinopteri; Cyprinodontiformes; Nothobranchiidae. The record is from RNAcentral.